UUAUCCUGGUAAAAACAUACUUUUUCCCAUUUGUCUAAACAUCUUGAAUCCACUUUCAGCCAGUUGUACACAUCAUGAGGGGGAAAUGUUUUAAGGGAGAAUUUACUAGUUAUCUCAACAUUUCAUUGGCAAAGACUGACUUAAGAGAGGAAAUAUACAUUGAAAAAUUAAUUUUCUGACUUUGGCUUCGUCAAAAUCAAACUACGUUUCAUUUCCCAGUCACAUGCCCUCACCGUAACACCUGUUUGGCGGUCUCUGUGAUGCAGUGAGACACACCCGGAAACAGCCUCACUGAGUGCUCAUCCUUCUGUGAUGCGGUGAGACACACCCGGAAAUAGCCUCACUGAGUGCUCAUCCUUCUGUGAUGCGGUGAGACGCACCCGGAAACAGCCUCACUGAGUGCUCAUCCUUCUGUGAUGCGGUGAGAACUCACCGGAAACAGUCUCGCUGAGUGCUCAUCCUUCUGUGAUGCGGUGAAACACACCGGAAACAGCCUCACUGAGUGCUCAUCCUUCUGUGAUGCGGUGAGAUGCAGCCGGAAACAGCCUCACUGAGUGCUCAUCCUUCUGUGAUGCGGUGAGACUCACCCGGAAACAGCCUCGCCGAGUGCUCAUCCUUUUGUGAUGCGGUGAGACGCACCCGGAAACAGCCUCAUGCGGUGAGACGCACCCGGAAACAGCCUCCCCGAGUGCUCA
Molecule: long non-coding RNA, 695 nt
Organism: Cercocebus atys (sooty mangabey)
Lineage: Eukaryota; Metazoa; Chordata; Mammalia; Primates; Cercopithecidae
Exons: 3
Source: RefSeq, a predicted model, not a curated record